This 329-nucleotide unclassified non-coding RNA is filed under the name soil metagenome. Its description in RNAcentral is "partial contains 5.8S ribosomal RNA, internal transcribed spacer 2, and large subunit ribosomal RNA". The stretch from base 1 to 120 matches the Rfam family "5.8S ribosomal RNA", at positions 35 to 154 of the family's 154-position model. The record is from RNAcentral.
GAUGAAGAACGUAGCGAAAUGCGAUAAGUAGUGUGAAUUGCAGAAUUCAGUGAAUCAUCGAAUCUUUGAACGCACAUUGCGCCCCUUGGUAUCCCGAGGGGCAUGCCUGUUCGAGCGUCAUUUCACCACUCAAGCCUGGCUUGGUGUAGGGCGACGUCCCCUUUGGGGACGCGCCUCGAAACGCUCGGCGGCGUGGCACCGGCUUUAAGCGUAGCAGAAUCUUUCGCUUUGGAAGUCGGGGCCCCGUCUGCCGGAAGACCUACUCGCAAGGUUGACCUCGGAUCAGGCAGGGAUACCCGCUGAACUUAAGCAUAUCAAUAAGCGGAGGA